This is a small nucleolar RNA of Octodon degus (degu), 137 nucleotides long. Lineage: Eukaryota; Metazoa; Chordata; Mammalia; Rodentia; Octodontidae. The record is from Ensembl.
AAACAUUUUCAAAAAUAUUUUUUAAAUUGUGUUGAUAGCCAGCCAAGGGGGACAGUGUAUGCAAGAGUGAUGUGGAGUUCUUGUCAGCUCUAACCAGCUGAAUCAGUGGCUGGAUGAAUCGUAGGGCUCCAACAGUC